CUCACUUCCUAUCUCAGCAGAAAAUGCCCUCUCUCUUACUUGAAACUUCUUGGCUCGCACUUCUUAUUUAGAUAUCUGGGUUGGAAUGGAUGCUCUGAGUUCCUCCACUCUGUGCCAUGUCUUCCUUGGAAUAGAUAAUUGUGACUUUGAAUUCCAACCUAAGGAAGUCUUGCCCACUAUGCAAACUACUUAUUCAAAGGCAGAUGUGGUCAGACUUACAGCAAAAAGUGGAUGCUCCAGGCCUUUUCAUCUUUGACAAUAAAAUAGGAGUGAUGGAGACA
RNAcentral lists this long non-coding RNA (281 nucleotides) under Junco hyemalis (dark-eyed junco). RNAcentral's name for it is "lncRNA (ENSJHYG00000012522.1)". The record is from RNAcentral. Lineage: Eukaryota; Metazoa; Chordata; Aves; Passeriformes; Passerellidae.